Molecule: long non-coding RNA, 230 nt
Filed under: Setaria italica (foxtail millet)
Lineage: Eukaryota; Viridiplantae; Streptophyta; Magnoliopsida; Poales; Poaceae
Description: long non-coding RNA (SITA_LNC006696)
Source: RNAcentral
CAAAACAAUGGCAGGUGGUGUGGACACAGUGCUGAUGCUGCCAACAGCACCACCCUGCUUCUCAGAGGCGGAUCUAGGGGGCUUAGGGGGCUCAGCCCCCCUAAGUGCCAAGAACUCCAUUGGAACCAAAAGGAAGAAGGGGAGGAGAAGAGAGGAAAAAUAAGAAGAGAAAAGGAAGGAACUAUGGAGAUGGAGAAGGAAGAACCCAGCCCCCCAGAUUUUAAUCUUGG